Archocentrus centrarchus (flier cichlid) is the source of this 658-nucleotide long non-coding RNA. RefSeq lists it as uncharacterized. NCBI's taxonomy places the organism in Eukaryota, Metazoa, Chordata, Actinopteri, Cichliformes, Cichlidae. The transcript is spliced from 3 exons. The record is from RefSeq and is a predicted model, not a curated record.
UGAGUCUUCAUAAAGGAGGAGUUACAUGGAUCAUCUCUGCAACGGGAAGAGGAAAUAUGAGCGCACAGAAUGAGCAGCGACUCCCAAUGUGACCAACACUGAAUGUGACUUUCUGGGCUUCCUGCUCCUUCUUCUCUCCAAUGACGGCCUCAGUGAUGAAGGCAGAUGUUCCUGCUGCUGCUCUGCUUUGAUAUGAGCUGCAUGAAACAACACUGCAACAACACGCUGGACAAACAUCUAAGAGUCCAUCUGCAGGACUUUGGAGUUUCCUUCACUCUCCUUCACUCCUUUCCUUCACCUCAUGACGUUUUCCAUCCACAUGAAGGUAAAGUGAUGAGGAAAAGGAGGAAGGACGGAUUUGGACUCAUUUCUUUGGGAGCUCAGACUCGACUCUGGAGCGCCCCCUGCUGCGCUCCCGGCUCAAUCGCAGCCACUUCCUGUUCAGUGGGAUUAACCGGAAGUGGGACAAGUCUGCCGUGAAGCGCGUGGAUCUGUGCUCGCUGACCUUUUUGUGUGUUUGGAAAGAGUUGCAGCUUCGUCCCGCAGCUUCAUCUAAAGGCCGAAGAGUCUAAGGUUCCAGCGACGUGAGUAGGCUUCCAGCUGAUCAUCAGGAGGAGGAGAGUCUGACGGAGCAGCAGAGGAACAUUUUCAGCCUCUA